GAGUUUGAUCCUGGCUCAGAUUGAACGCUGGCGGCAGGCCUAACACAUGCAAGUCGAGCGGUAGAGAGAAGCUUGCUUCUCUUGAGAGCGGCGGACGGGUGAGUAAUGCCUAGGAAUCUGCCUGGUAGUGGGGGAUAACGCUCGGAAACGGACGCUAAUACCGCAUACGUCCUACGGGAGAAAGCAGGGGACCUUCGGGCCUUGCGCUAUCAGAUGAGCCUAGGUCGGAUUAGCUAGUUGGUGAGGUAAUGGCUCACCAAGGCGACGAUCCGUAACUGGUCUGAGAGGAUGAUCAGUCACACUGGAACUGAGACACGGUCCAGACUCCUACGGGAGGCAGCAGUGGGGAAUAUUGGACAAUGGGCGAAAGCCUGAUCCAGCCAUGCCGCGUGUGUGAAGAAGGUCUUCGGAUUGUAAAGCACUUUAAGUUGGGAGGAAGGGCAGUAAAUUAAUACUUUGCUGUUUUGACGUUACCGACAGAAUAAGCACCGGCUAACUCUGUG
Molecule: ribosomal RNA, 503 nt
Filed under: uncultured bacterium
Lineage: Bacteria
Description: bacterial SSU rRNA
Rfam family: Bacterial small subunit ribosomal RNA
Source: RNAcentral